AAGGAGGAGUCUGAGUAUGAAACCAGCCGGCCCUCCUACAAGCUGUCAAUACACAAAUAAAUGUCACAUAACUAGGCACCACAUCAUGACUUUCACUAGUCAUCUCCUCAAACAAACGCAAUGCCAUAUCUGCACACCCUUGAUGAGCAUAACCACCCAUUACUGCAUUCCAAGUUAUCAAAUUCCUCUCGGGCAUUUCAUAGAAGGCGCUCUCACAAUUUUCUAUGCUACCACAUUUACCAUACAUGUCAACAAGUGCACUGCCAACAAAUACGUUAUGCUCGAUACAAGCCUUUACUGCAAGACCAUGAAUAGACCUCCCCA
Molecule: unclassified non-coding RNA, 324 nt
Filed under: Hevea brasiliensis (rubber tree)
Lineage: Eukaryota; Viridiplantae; Streptophyta; Magnoliopsida; Malpighiales; Euphorbiaceae
Source: RNAcentral